Molecule: long non-coding RNA, 126 nt
Organism: Myotis davidii
Lineage: Eukaryota; Metazoa; Chordata; Mammalia; Chiroptera; Vespertilionidae
Exons: 3
Source: RefSeq, a predicted model, not a curated record
UAAUCAGGGCAAAAAAAUGUAGCUGCCCAUACAAAAGCGAGAUGCCUUUCACCUGUAUGAAAAAUAUGGUCACUGGUGCAAGCAGCAUCCUGAAUUGUGAGAGGGAUGUCUGACUGCUGGUUUAGG